Molecule: ribosomal RNA, 492 nt
Filed under: uncultured bacterium
Lineage: Bacteria
Description: partial 16S ribosomal RNA
Rfam family: Bacterial small subunit ribosomal RNA
Source: RNAcentral
AGUGAACGCUGGCGGUAGGCCUAACACAUGCAAGUCGAACGGCAGCACAGUAAGAGCUUGCUCUUACGGGUGGCGAGUGGCGGACGGGUGAGGAAUACAUCGGAAUCUACUUUUUCGUGGGGGAUAACGUAGGGAAACUUACGCUAAUACCGCAUACGACCUACGGGUGAAAGCAGGGGAUCUUCGGACCUUGCGCGAUUGAAUGAGCCGAUGUCGGAUUAGCUAGUUGGCGGGGUAAAGGCCCACCAAGGCGACGAUCCGUAGCUGGUCUGAGAGGAUGAUCAGCCACACUGGAACUGAGACACGGUCAAGACUCCUACGGGAGGCAGCAGUGGGGAAUAUUGGACAAUGGGCGCAAGCAUGAUCCAGCCAUACCGCGUGGGUGAAGAAGGCCUUCGGGUUGUAAAGACCUUUUGUUGGGAAAGAAAAGCAGCAGGUUAAUACCACGCUGUUCUGACGGUACCCAAAGAAUAAGCACCGGCUAACUUCGUG